CAGGGAGUUGCUCAAGGUUACAAAGAUCAAACAGCUCAGUGGAUUUGAAAAUGCUUUGAAAGGUAUUAAACAGGUCAAUAUGCAGCUCAUGGAGAUCUCUUUUUACUUGAGUUUGAAAACACCAGUAUAAGGGAGCUGGGUGACAUCGUGGAUAG
Molecule: long non-coding RNA, 155 nt
Organism: Dromiciops gliroides (monito del monte)
Lineage: Eukaryota; Metazoa; Chordata; Mammalia; Microbiotheria; Microbiotheriidae
Exons: 3
Source: RefSeq, a predicted model, not a curated record